RNAcentral lists this long non-coding RNA (210 nucleotides) under Elaeis guineensis (African oil palm). RNAcentral describes it as "long non-coding RNA (EGUI_LNC003867)". Lineage: Eukaryota; Viridiplantae; Streptophyta; Magnoliopsida; Arecales; Arecaceae. The record is from RNAcentral.
GGAAGCAACUAGGGAACCUACAAGAGGUGCUAUGCACCAAGUAUCCACAUCCCUAGCUACAGAGGCCAAAAUAGAUACUAUACUACGUAGGUUAGAGGCCUUAGAACUCAAAGGACACACCCAAGUGAACCAAAUUUCAACAUCUACUUGCAAUGGAUGUAAUGCCAUAGACCACAUCAUAGAAGAAUGUCUCUUUUUGAUGAACCCAAC